Molecule: non-coding RNA, 94 nt
Organism: Cinara cedri
Lineage: Eukaryota; Metazoa; Arthropoda; Insecta; Hemiptera; Aphididae
Source: the annotation of a GenBank genome assembly
UUGUUAAGGUAGAAGAGAGAGAGAGAGAGAAACAAGACAAAAUUCUAGGUUUCUCUCUCCCUCUCUCUCUCUCUCUCUCCUCUCUUUCUUUAGU